Molecule: long non-coding RNA, 460 nt
Filed under: Parus major (Great Tit)
Lineage: Eukaryota; Metazoa; Chordata; Aves; Passeriformes; Paridae
Description: lncRNA (ENSPMJG00000001777.1)
Source: RNAcentral
UUUUUUUAAUAUCUGAGGAAGUUAGCACAUUUUUUUUAUUUCUCUUCAUCUUCCUCAUUUCUUUUUCUUUGUAGAAUAUAGAUGUCUGGAAGAAAACAGACCAAGGUGGUCUGUUGCCCUCUGACUGCAGAAAGGCUUACAGGGCUGAAGGGAAAGCUGUGACCUUGUACUACUCGCAUGGCAGGUAUCAGUUUCAAAGAAACUUUCAUCAGAAGAGGUUUGUCAGCCAUCGGAUGGAAUUUCUGGUCGAGACCAGGAGGAGAUGGCAAAGUUGGAGUAUCAGGGUCCUGGCCAGGAGUUGAAAAUAAGGAAAAGAGAGGCAGAAAAACCACAAAGAAAGAGGCAUAUGAAAAGUGAAAAAAAUACAGAGCUGGAGGUGAACCUAAACACUCAGAGGUUGUCUUCUAACUGGAAAAUGAAGAGUCAAAAAGUCCUGAGGCCUUUCUGCCCUUCUCACUGA